This 425-nucleotide ribosomal RNA is filed under the name uncultured bacterium. Its description in RNAcentral is "bacterial SSU rRNA". It matches the Rfam family "Bacterial small subunit ribosomal RNA", at positions 356 to 773 of the family's 1533-position model. The record is from RNAcentral.
GAGGAAUUUUGCGCAAUGGGAGCAAUCCUGACGCAGCAACGCCGCGUGGGUGAAGAAGGCCUUCGGGUCGUAAAGCCCUGUCAGGUGGGAAGAAGGGUCUCAUCAGGAAAGGGGUGGGAUUUGACGGUACCACCAGAGGAAGCACCGGCUAACUCCGUGCCAGCAGCCGCGGUAAUACGGAGGGUGCGAGCGUUAUUCGGAAUUACUGGGCGUAUAGCGCGUGUAGGCGGGGGGAUAAGUCUGAUGUGAAAGCCCUGGGCUCAACCUGGGAAGUGCAUUGGAAACUGUCCUUCUUGAGUACUGGAGAGGAAGGGGGAAUUCCCGGUGUAGAGGUGAAAUUCGUAGAGAUCGGGAGGGAUACCAGUGGCGAAGGCGCCCUUCUGGACGGUUACUGACGCUGAGACGCGAAAGCGUGGGGAGCAAAC